GAUCCUGGCUCAGGAUGAACGCUAGCUACAGGCUUAACACAUGCAAGUCGAGGGGCAGCAUGGUCUUAGCUUGCUAAGGCCGAUGGCGACCGGCGCACGGGUGAGUAACGCGUAUCCAACCUGCCUUACACUCUUGGACAGUCUUCUGAAAGGGAGAUUAAUACAAGAUGUUAUCAUGAGUAAGCAUUUUCGCAUGAUUAAAGGUUUACCGGUGUAAGAUGGUGAUGCGUU
This 231-nucleotide ribosomal RNA is filed under the name uncultured bacterium. Its description in RNAcentral is "partial 16S ribosomal RNA". It matches the Rfam family "Bacterial small subunit ribosomal RNA", at positions 15 to 237 of the family's 1533-position model. The record is from RNAcentral.